RNA transcript from Panicum virgatum (switchgrass), 1965 nucleotides. It is a transcript of the gene named 1-acyl-sn-glycerol-3-phosphate acyltransferase BAT2, chloroplastic-like, with no coding region annotated. NCBI's taxonomy places the organism in Eukaryota, Viridiplantae, Streptophyta, Magnoliopsida, Poales, Poaceae. The transcript has 6 exons. The record is from RefSeq and is a predicted model, not a curated record.
GGCACGCACCCUGCCCAAUCCCAAUCCCCCCUCGUCUCCUCCGCGCCCGGCUCGAGUCCCCACGGCUUUAUCCCAUCCUCUCCAGCGAGGCCCCCACAUCCCUCUCCCUCCCACACCGAAAAGGCCGCGCGCGGCGACACGGCCUGAUCCACCCCGCCUCCACGUUCGCCACGUGCGCGCCACCUCUCCCGGCCCCGGCCGCCUCCGUCGCGAGAUCGCGAGCCCGCCGUUCGCAGGUCGCGGCAGCGAGUAGGAGGCGGGCGGGCGGGCCAUGGGGACGCUCCUCCGGCCGGGGCCCGCCGCGGCCGCCGCGUCGCCAAUCUCCAUCGCCUCCUCCUCCUCGGCCCACGCGGUGGCUGGCGGGGGACGCGCAUGGAGCUCGCGGCAUCGGGUGUCGGUGGUAGCCUUCCGGUCCCCGAGCCCGCAGGUUCUGGCGAUGAGGUGGCGGCGUCGGAGAGAUACGGCUGUGCUCUCGGAUGCUGUCGCCGGUGGCGCGGCCGCCGCCGCAGCAGGGGAUUCCACGCAGGCGCUGUCAGACCUGCAAGUGGCUUCAAGAGUCAGAGGGGCUUGCUUCUAUUUGGUGACUGCAGUUGCAGCAAUCUUUUUGUUUGUAGCUAUGGUUGCGGUUCAUCCACUCGUGUUGCUACUUGAUCGGUACCGCAGAAGAGCGCAGCAUUACAUUGCGAAAAUUUGGGCUACUUUGACGAUUUCCAUGUUCUACAAGCUCGAGGUUGAGGGAAUGGAGAAUCUACCUCCAAAUAGCAGCCCUGCUGUCUAUGUUGCUAACCAUCAGAGCUUCUUGGAUAUCUAUACCCUUCUAACUCUAGGGAGGUGCUUCAAGUUUAUAAGCAAGACCAGUAUCUUUAUGUUUCCUAUUAUAGGGUGGGCAAUGUAUCUCCUGGGUGUGAUUCCUCUGCGGCGUAUGGACAGCAGAAGCCAGCUGGAUUGUCUCAAACGGUGUGUGGACUUGGUUGGAAAAGGAGCUUCCGUAUUUUUCUUUCCCGAGGGGACUCGAAGUAAAGAUGGCAAGUUAGGUGUAUUUAAGCGAGGCGCAUUCAGUGUUGCCACAAAGACCGGUGCUCCUGUGAUACCUAUUACUCUUAUCGGGACUGGGAAAUUGAUGCCUUCUGGAAUGGAAGGCAUCCUCAAUUCAGGUUCAGUAAAGGUUAUUAUUCACCGACCUAUUCAAGGGAAUAAUGCAGAAACAUUAUGUUCCGAAGCAAGGAAUGUGAUAGCAGACACUCUUCUUCUACAUGGUUAUGGAGUGCGCUAAAGCAAUUGGGUGCUUUGGUCUAUUUCCAGGAAGACAUUCCAAGGCAAGUACUUGAGGCAAAGCUUGUUGCCAGGAUGUAAAUGCAGGAGGGAGAAAAAAAAAAGGCUGGAACUCGAUUGGUAGUUGUAGCUUGUGGUCCAAUGUUGUAAUCCCCUUUCAAUCACUGCGUUCGGCUAGUCUUCUCCUCUCCAGCGCUACAGUAAUUUCUUCUCACACCACUCCAGCCACCAGCUCCAGCCAGCCCAACAAUAUUUUUCUCUCACCCUAUUCCAGCUCCAGCCUGCCGAACGCAGAGAUGACCACAUGGAAAAGGCAGAGAGGUCAUCUUCAUUCGAUGGAAAAUAAAGCCCAUGUGAAAUUUGCCAUUUUUGCAAUGGAAUUCCCCCCUUGGUUUGGACCUGGACUGGCCAGCCGGGGACUUCGAAAAGUAGUUUGGUUCAAAGUCGAACAUGGGAGCAUCAAUGCCCCCUUCUUUUACUGGAUCUUGAUGUAGCCGGCCGAAGGCUUCCUAACAAGACUUGUCGGUUGCCUACUUUGCAGCUUUGCCGGUGUCUGGUUCCGAACUGAAUCGUUCUUUUAUCUUCGCUUUUCUCAAUUGUUUUUUAUCUAUUUAUUUCUUUUCUUGCUUUUGUAUGAAUCAGUGGUUUAAUCGCUUUAUGAUUAUCAAUGAAUAUAUAAGGUAGAGGAUCGUA